UACAGAGGGGGCAAGCGUUAUUCGGAAUUAUUGGGCGUAAAGGGCGCGUAGGCGGCUUGGCAAGUGGAUGGUGAAAUCCCUCGGCUUAACCGAGGAACUGCCGUCCAAACUGCUUGGCUUGAGACCAGGAGAGGUGAGUGGAAUUCCCAGUGUAGCGGUGAAAUGCGUAGAUAUUGGGAGGAACACCAGUGGCGAAGGCGGCUCACUGGACUGGUACUGACGCUGAGGCGCGAAAGCGUGGGGAGCAAACGGG
This 253-nucleotide ribosomal RNA is filed under the name uncultured bacterium. Its description in RNAcentral is "partial 16S ribosomal RNA". It matches the Rfam family "Bacterial small subunit ribosomal RNA", at positions 524 to 776 of the family's 1533-position model. The record is from RNAcentral.